Molecule: ribosomal RNA, 650 nt
Filed under: uncultured bacterium
Lineage: Bacteria
Description: bacterial SSU rRNA
Rfam family: Bacterial small subunit ribosomal RNA
Source: RNAcentral
AGAUUAGAGUUUGAUCAUGGCUCAGAUUGAACGCUGGCGGAAUGCUUUACACAUGCAAGUCGAACGGUAACAGCAGAGCUUGCUCUGGCUGACGAGUGGCGGACGGGUGAGUAAUAUAUCGGAACGUGUCCAAUAAUGGGGGAUAACUAGCCGAAAGGUUGGCUAAUACCGCAUACGCCCUGAGGGGGAAAGCUGGGGAUUCUUCGGAACCUGGCGUUAAUGGAGCGGCCGAUACCUGAUUAGCUAGUUGGUGGGGUAAAAGCCUACCAUGGCAACGAUCAGUAGCUGGUCUGAGAGGACGACCAGCCACACUGGGACUGAGACACGGCCCAGACUCCUACGGGAGGCAGCAGUGGGGAAUUUUGGACAAUGGGGGCAACCCUGAUCCAGCCAUUCCGCGUGAGUGAAGAAGGCCUUCGGGUUGUAAAGCUCUUUCGCAAGGGAAGAAACGAUAUGGGUUAAUAGCCUAUGUUAAUGACGGUACCUUGACAAGAAGCACCGGCUAACUACGUGCCAGCAGCCGCGGUAAUACGUAGGGUGCAAGCGUUAAUCGGAAUUACUGGGCGUAAAGCGUGCGCAGGCUGUUUUGUAAGUCAGAUGUGAAAUCCCCGAGCUCAACUUGGGAACUGCGUUUGAAACUACAAGACUAG